GAAAUAAGAUAUACAAGAAUAAGCUUCUAACUUAAUUCUUAAGCAAUGAAAUUUUGUUUUUAUUUCU
This 67-nucleotide transfer RNA is filed under the name Gallerucida bifasciata. RNAcentral describes it as "tRNA-Ser". Lineage: Eukaryota; Metazoa; Arthropoda; Insecta; Coleoptera; Chrysomelidae. The record is from RNAcentral.